UGGCUCUGGCAUCGAUGAAGAACGCAGCGAAAUGCGAUACGUAAUGCGAAUUGCAGAAUUCAGCGAGUCAUCGAAUCUUUGAACGCACAUUGCGCCCGCCAGCAUUCUGGCGGGCAUGCCUGUUCGAGCGUCAUUUCCCCCCUCAGCACGCCUUCGGCGCGCUGGCGUUGGGGCUCCUCCGCCCUCGUGGCGGCAGGGCCCUCAAAUCCAGUGGCGGGCCCGACUGGUGGUUCCGAGCGCAGUACCGAACGCAAGUUCUCUUCUCGCUCUGCAGCCCCGGCCGGUGCCCAGCCGUCAAACCUGCGAGUGGUGUUACAGCCGCUUGCUAUCUUUUAUAAGGUUGACCUCGAAUCAGGUAGGACUACCCGCUGA
RNAcentral lists this unclassified non-coding RNA (372 nucleotides) under uncultured fungus. RNAcentral describes it as "partial contains 5.8S ribosomal RNA and internal transcribed spacer 2". The stretch from base 1 to 133 matches the Rfam family "5.8S ribosomal RNA", at positions 22 to 154 of the family's 154-position model. The record is from RNAcentral. Lineage: Eukaryota; Fungi.